GCCUUGGCUUGGGCGGUCCGCCGAUUGGCUGGUACUGCUCCGACCGGGGUUCUCCUUCUGGUGGGCUUGUAUGCUUCGGUGUGCAAGUGCGCCAGGACUUUUACUUUGAACAAAUUAGAGUGUUUAAAGCAGGCCUGCGCCUGAAUACAUUAGCAUGGAAUAAUAGAAUAGGACUUUGGUUCUAUUUUGUUGGUUUCUAGGACCGAAGUA
This 210-nucleotide ribosomal RNA is filed under the name uncultured fungus. Its description in RNAcentral is "partial small subunit ribosomal RNA". The stretch from base 92 to 210 matches the Rfam family "Eukaryotic small subunit ribosomal RNA", at positions 743 to 864 of the family's 1831-position model. Lineage: Eukaryota; Fungi. The record is from RNAcentral.